UUGACAGCUACAGAGCCGAAAGUCCCAUUUAUCCCCAGAAAGCACCAAAAACUGCUAUGCAAGCUUCUCCCACACUGCCCCACCAAUGUGUCUCAAACUCUUCUUUGGGGAGAAGCAAUGAGGUGGAAAGCAGACAAGUCCCCAUGGCGUCAUUCGUUAGCUCAC
This 165-nucleotide small RNA is filed under the name Gopherus agassizii (Agassiz's desert tortoise). Its description in RNAcentral is "TUC338 (ENSGAGG00000025698.1)". Lineage: Eukaryota; Metazoa; Chordata; Testudines; Testudinidae. The record is from RNAcentral.